CCAGGCUUGAACAGCGAGUGACCAUCGAUGAAAGUCGACUUCCGCAAGGACACUCGUAGAGGUGCUGCAUGGCUGUCGUCAGCUCGUGUCGUGAGAUGUUGGGUUAAGUCCCGCAACGAGCGCAACCCUUGUUUGCUGUUGCCAUCAGGUUAUGCUGGGCACUCUGCAAAGACUGCCGGUGAUAAACCGGAGGAAGGUGGGGAUGACGUCAAGUCAGCAUGGCCUUUAUGUCUGGGGCUACACACGUGCUACAAUGGCCGACACAAACCGUCGCGAGCCCGCGAGGGGGAGCUAAUCGGACAAAGUCGGUCUCAGUUCGGAUCGUAGGCUGCAACUCGCCUGCGUGAAGUUGGAAUCGCUAGUAAUCGCGGAUCAGCACGCCGCGGUGAAUACGUUCCC
Molecule: ribosomal RNA, 399 nt
Filed under: uncultured bacterium
Lineage: Bacteria
Description: bacterial SSU rRNA
Rfam family: Bacterial small subunit ribosomal RNA
Source: RNAcentral